Molecule: non-coding RNA, 904 nt
Organism: Arachis ipaensis
Lineage: Eukaryota; Viridiplantae; Streptophyta; Magnoliopsida; Fabales; Fabaceae
Source: RefSeq, a predicted model, not a curated record
CACUCGUCGCUGGCAAAAAGGCUUUUUCAACCCAAGAAUUACCCUCUGCCUACAUAAUUACUAUCCCUCCCCCAAUUUUCUCUUCAUUCAUUAGUUCCUAAGCCACUCUGAACACACAGGGGAGGUAGUAGAACCCGAGAUAUCCGAGUUUCCUAGGAAUCUUCACCAGAGAUAUCCCACCUUUGAAGAGGGGCUGAAGUGGAUCUUCAAGUAGUGGUGUACUUUAGCUUGUAUCUGUGGUCAAAGGUGUUCCAGUCGGUGGGUAUGCUGCUCCACGAAAAGGAAGUGGCCUCCAUGCUGGAGGUGGCAGCUACUAUACCUAGGAGGUGGAGCCUACUCGGGGCCGCUUUCUUCACCAUGAGACUCUCAUCCAGCAGCCGGCAGUAGAAACCCAAAAUUCAUUAGCGACAGGUUGCAGUUGAAGGCACGACGUCAGAAGGAGGCCAUUGCGUCCUUGGAAGGCUGUGUUUCGCAGCUUGAGGUUGAAAAGUUUGAGCUUCUAAUGCAACUAGCGGGGGUAAUGGAACAACUCUCCACACUAUUCACUGUAAAGAAAUGCCAAAAGUAAGCACAUGCUCCAAAAGUGACCCGCCGGGUUAUGGUGCCUUGGACGAAUAUCCGUGUAAGCAUCAAGGGUUUUGAUGUUAGAGUUUAGGUAAGCUUGGGUUCCUUUAUGGAUUUUUUUGUGCACGAUGUAUCCUUGUGUUGUGUCAGUUUAAGUAGAUUUGUGUUGUAUGAAUUCGUCUUACUUGUCCGGUACUGAGUGUCUUAGAGGCUGUAAAUACUUUGAGAUGAAUAUAAUUAUGGUAACCAGUUAGUCAUGGUAAACAUUGAUGUUUCGGUUAUCUAUUCGUGUAUGAUCCGUUGAUCAUGUAUCUGCUAAUAUUCCCUUGAAAAUUGUCGA